Long non-coding RNA from Episyrphus balteatus (marmalade hoverfly), 6810 nucleotides. RefSeq lists it as uncharacterized. The record is from RefSeq and is a predicted model, not a curated record. Lineage: Eukaryota; Metazoa; Arthropoda; Insecta; Diptera; Syrphidae. The transcript is spliced from 2 exons.
UAAAUUUAAUUUCUGUACCUAUUACUGUUGAUUUAAAUUUUUGUUUUCAUUUUUUUUCUAAUGAUAUUUCUUAUACAGGGUGUCCUGUAAGUAGAUUAGGAAAAUUAAAAUUGUGAUUUUUGGAUAUAUUCUACGAAAAAAAUUGUUUUAUAUUAUCGCUCUAUCUGCAAAGUUAAUAUCACUAAGCUAUGAUUUAAGAAACCUCUUAAUUAUUUUAAUUAUUUUAUUUAAUGUGCAGUAAUGACAAAUAACACUGGUCAACAAGGUUUUUGUUACAGACACCACGAUAUACUUUUCUAUAGGUUUUUUGGGUGCUGAGCUCAUAUCCGAAGCCAAAAAAAUUCUAUCACAUCACUUAUUUGAGAUGAUCCCGUUAGAAAAUCGAAAAUGCCGCUUUUUACAAGUUUUCGAGAUUAUUUCUUAGCUUUUGGUUAUUUGUUUUAAAUAAAUUUGUAACGGUUUCUAAAAGAACUAAAUCUUGUCUUUGUAAAUCCGUUCUUUGCCAAUCGCUUUCAAAUUUCGACACAACGUUUCAUUUAUAAUCUCGCAAGAUUUUAUAUUUGCGAAGGUGGUGAAUCGCGGUGAGAUACAUCAAAGCGUGACCGUGUCAGAUAGUUAUACUAAAUAAUUACUAGUGAGAAAAAUAUAACUUUUUUCUUGUUAAAAACAAUAUAAGAACUUACAGGAAUGUAAAUGAAACGUUGUGUCAAAAUUCGAAAGCGAUUGGCAAAGAACUUUUCGAGAUUUGCUAUUAAAAGCAAAUAAACAUGAGAUAUACCAAACACGUUGAUUUCAACUUAAGUUUUCUCAAAGAAGAAAAGAGAUAUUUAAAAGAUUUAAACUGAUUUAGAAAGACAAGAUUUAGUUCUUUGAGAAACCGUUACAAAUUUAUUUAUAACAAAUAACCAAACGCUGAGAAAUAACCUCGAAAACUGGUAAAAAGCGGCAUUUUCGAUUUUCUAACGGGAUUAUCUCAAAUACGUGAUGUGAUAGAAUUUUUUUGGCUUCGGGUAUAGAAAAGUAUACCUUGGUUUCUAUAACAAAAAAAAGUUUAAUUUAUUUGACCAGUGAUAAUCAAGUUGUUUCCUUGGCUUUGUAUCUAUGCUAGAGCAGGUUUUUUUUUUUAUUUUAGAUGUAAGAUUUUUUUUCAAUUUUGUACCCAAGAAUCAUCUUUAAAUUUUCCUGAUCUACUUAGGCUAGGCGCACACAUGCGAUUUUGAUCGCGCGAUUAUUCAGCCGCAAAUUAGAUGACAACAAUUUUAAUGACUGUAGACUCAAUUUUCAAAUUUUUAAUUGCGGGAAGCAUGUGUGUUCACCGGCAUUGAAAUCCGUGUGAUCCAUUUUUGCGACUAAAUAAUCGCGCGACUAAAAUCGCAUGUGUGCGCCUAGCCUUACUGGCCACGCUUUAUAUGCACAUACUACAACAGUGCACGCACUGUUAUAAUUCUAUUCUUAGGACCUAAUACAUUGAUUUUAUUGUAAGUGCGUUCCAUUGAAAAUCGCUAGAGUACUACUAAAAGUACUUUGCCACCUCCCAAUGGAACAGGGCUAAAUACCCAAAAUCAAUCUUGAUUUAGAGUCAAACAAUAUUUUGUUGACUAUCAGGUAUCAGCCUUGGUCAAUUUUCAAACGAUUUAAAAGUAUUUAUCUGUUAAAGAAAACAAAUAUUCAGACCUUUCCUUCUUCUUCUAUUACAACGCAAGAAAUUGUGUAAAUUAUACUUCUGCACAUAGUUUUUAGCAGGGAUAGUAUUUUGUGGAUCUACAAAUUUUAAAAAAGACAGAACGUCAAAAUUAUUUAUUUUUGUCGUAAGAUUGUGCAAGAAAAAAAAACUGAAGGAACAGUGUUAUGCAGAUAAUACAACACUAUGUGGACUACACGAUGGUCUUCAUGUAUGUAAAUAAUUCAGCGUCUACAUAGUUAUGUCAAUAACUGGCUGAAUACAAUGGUGUAGCUGUGGCUGUAGCUUGUAGUACUGUCAAAAUUUUACUGAGUGAAACAACAACAAAAGUUGGCGGCAGCUGAGCAAAAAGUUGAGAAUUCUUCAACUUGCGCUACAAGCUACAGCCACAACUACACCAUUGUAUUCAGCAAGUAAUGUAGACAAUUUACAAGUUGUUUUUAUUAUCAGAAAAAAAAUCAGAGUUUCUCGGGUUUUCAUUUUACAUCGAACACCUCAGAGCUUUAGUUUCAUCAGCUGAUUUCUGUUUUGACAUUUUUUACUUAGUUUAGUUUCUUAUUUCAUGAAUUUCAUGAAAAAUCUUAUACUUACAACACAAAUUUUGUAUCCACAAACGACAAAUCACUUUUCGCACUCAAAACAAUUUUUUUUUUCUUAAGGGGUAAUAACACCUUGUAAACCACGAAAUCGAGCGUCAUUUUCAUCAGCGUAUAAAACAAAGAAGAAAUAUUAUUUUCUUUUGGUGUUUGUUUAGUUUAAUAAAGUAUAUUAAUAGGUAACAGAAUAGGCUAAUGUUAUUUUUUUUAAUGAUGUGAAAUUUUUUAAAUGGCGGUGUAGUUCAGGAUGAUAGUAAAAUCCUUUGUUCCCAUCGGGCGACCAACUAACUCCUACAGUUUUUAACCGAUUGGGCUGAAAUUUUGUGUGGAGCUUAAAAAUACUUUUCUCUAGUGAAGAACGUAGGAUUUUUUUGAAAUAUAUGUUUUUAAAGAAAUGGCAUUAGUUUAAAAAAUUUUUUUCAUUCCAAAAACAAAAUUCGUUGAAAAAAAGACCAUAAAAUCGUUAAAUUUUAAUAUUUCAAAAAAAUCACUAGAGAAUAGUAUUUUUAAGCUCCACACAAAAUUUCAGCCCAAUCGGUUAAAAACUGUAGGAGUUAGUUGGUCGCCCGAUGGGAGCAAAGGAUUUUACUAUCAUCCUGAACUGAACCAAAAGAAAAUAAUAUUUCAUCUUUGUUUUAUACGCUGAUGAAUAUGACGCUCGAUUUUAUAGUUUACAAGGUGUUAUUACCCCUUAAAUGACAACAGCUUAUUUGAUUUUGAUAACUCUGAAUUCUGUGCUUUGACAAAAUACCCAGAAUUGUUCAGGGUUUGUUCAGGGCGAACAUCGAACACAGGGGAAAUAACUCUGGUUGAAAAAGGAACUACGAAAAAAGCUUGACGUCGAAUUCGGAGCGACCCAGAGUGCACUAAGAGCUCACAACGAACAAACCUAUUGAUUGAAAUAUUCAUAUUCUUUUCUAAGAAAUGACGAUUAGGAAAACAGUUUUCAGAUGUAUUUAACUAAUUUUUGUUUCACAAAGAGCAAAUGCUGAAUAUAUACAGUGCUGUGCAAAACAUUUGCAACUGUUUCAACUUACUAUUUCGUAUUUAUUUUCUGAAUGUUUCUGCUCAUAAAAGAAUAAUGCAAUUUAUAUUGGGGAACGCUCUGGGGGUACACUUUGUAUCUCCAAGCUUUAUUUAAAAAAAAAUCAUUCUUCAAUGGGUUUUAAAAUUAAUAACAAAAUAUUAUUAAAUUUGUCUGCGCAAAACUCAUACAACUUUGUCUUCCAUUUUUACAUAAUAUUAGAUUAGACGGGUAGAUUUGAAAUGGAACUGAAUUAAAACAGGUCCCUCAGAACAUUCAGCUCAACAUAAUUAAUAAAUAUAACGAUAACCUAUCUCGAAAUUCUAUAUACACGGAAUGUUAUAAUGAUAUGUCAAAUAUUUCACGGCAAGUCAAACAAUUUUUCGUGCUAAACAUUCUUGUGAAACGUGUAUAAACUUUGUUGUAAAUAAAUGGAAAUCUGAAAUCGAUAAGAAAAAUGUGAUCAUAGCUGUGUUUAUUCAUGGUAUAAAAAGACAAGGUAUGAUCAUUAGAGCCGCCAUCUUACAAAAUGGGGUAAUAAGUUUUUGACGUUUAUUUUGGCAAAGUCAAAAGCAACAACAAUUUCCAAAACAAUUUGUUUACAACAACAAUUUCAAUGGGCAGCUGUCAAAACCUUAAGUAACCAUUUUUAAGUUUUGACAGUUCUAGAAACAGAGUUUUUUCUAAUGAUCAUACCUUCUCUUUUUAUACCAUGGUGUUUAUUGACCUAAAACGUGUAUUCGAAACUCUUAAUAUAUGUAUUCUGUUGCAAAAGUUGUCUAAAAUAGGUGUAAGAAAUACGGAACAUGCAUGGUUUAAGACUGGGUUCCCUUUUUCAGCGAAGUCAGAUCUCAUGUAAAAGCAUUUGUGUGUAUUAGUGAAUGUGUUUUUUUCUCUCGCCUUCGAAUUCUCUGGUAUUUUCCUCUCAGGAUGUUGGUUUUCAUUCAUUAACCCCGUUUGUAUGACCGAUUUAAAGAUCGAAUUGAAUCUGAAUUGAAAUUUCGAUCCAGGUAUAUGACUAUACCAGAUCGAGGAAUCGAAUUGAAAUAGAAUCGAAAACACAAUUUUUCUUUUUAAUAUAUUUGCAGUAAAAUAGAAAAAUCUAACCAAGAACAAAGUGCAAGUAAAACUAGAUAUCAUAAUACAUACAUACAGUGAAUUUGCAAAUAAGAAGACAAUCACACACAAUCUCCACCAUAAAUUCAAUUCGUUAGGUAUAUUUUUAGAGGAUAUAAUAUAUGGAGUUCUUGUGCUGUUAGUUCCGUGAGCUUUUAUAGAUGGCUCUAGUUUCUUUAAGUUUUUCGAUGAGUGCAUGCCACUAUUUUAUUUUCAUUUUAUGGCUGUCAUCAACAAGUACAGCUGCGGAACCGGACUCUCAUUGAAAAACGAAGGCGCUGACCCCUAUCCACGCAUAUGGCGUUACUAUGUAUUAGGUAUAGGAACAAGCACUCCAUAUAUUAUAUCCUCUAAGCAGUAUUUCCAAACGAAUAGAUCGUCGGCAUGGGCGUAGCUAGAGAUUUUGUCUAGGGUGUGCCAGAUGAUAUCGUCCACCUGAAGCCAUAACCGCAUAAAUGCGCAAUUUUUUUUACUUUACUUCUUCAUUGGCAAAUAAUUCGCCAAUCUCUGUGUUUUUUUUAAUAACUUGAAAUUUGCCAAAACUUUAUUUAUAAUAAUAGCCCUGUUCCCUUCGAGAUGCUAGUUUACUCGCGAGUAGAAAUCUAGUACAACAACUACACUUUCAUAUGUCCUCGAGUAGAAGAUCAUGUGUUAAUUGUAGUACUAGAUCUACUCAUGAGUAAACUACCACCUCCAAUGGAACGGGGCUAAUCUGCCCUAGCGAGGUAUUCCGUCGGAGCGGAGAUUUUCCGCAAUACAUACUUCGUCGGAGGUUCAAAUUGCAUUCGAGGUAUCUUUCAUCGGAAAAAAUACUAGACAAAUACGACGACGCACCGCAUCGCAAUAAUUUGAAACGUCACUUUCAAGAUUUUAAUAGAGAUGUACAAUAUAUACCGAUAUAUCGAUAAGUUGGUAUAUCUUCCGAUAUUUUUAUAUAAAAACACCUAAAUACAUUUAAAUUUUCAUAUUAAUAUUUAGAGAGUUUCAAUUCAUAGUUUCUCAUAAGUAAGAAUGUCAAUGUAUGGUAAAAUACUCCCUUUUGUUAUUAGAAAAUGAAUCGAUAUUGCGAUAUUUCUAUUCAACAAAAUAUCGAAACGAAAAAUAUCGAUAAUUUUUUUUUGAGAAGGCCAUCUCUAUAAUUAUCACAAAUGACAAAAAAAAAAAAACAAUUCAAAGAAUAACAAACGAGUUGAAGUAAUUUUAUUAAAAAGUGUCCAUGGCAAGUGUCGCGUUAUUUUUGGAGGCCGAGUCCAAACAAAUAAGGGCAAACAAACUCAAGAAAAAAGGAGGAUUUUAAAAAGUGAAAGAAUAAUUUGACAUGCGUCACUUUCAAGAUUUUAAUAGAGAUGUACAAUAUAUACCGAUAUAUCGAUAACCCUUCAAGCAAGAAAACUGAGUUCAACAAAGACACUCCGCCCUCAGAACGCGAAAAAAGGGGUUGCACUCACACACUUGUAACUUUUUGUGUAUGAACACAAAAGUCGAAGGAGAAGCGUGGUGAAAAAUGAGAAAAGGAAAAGAAAGACAAGGCCAACAAGAGCCAAAGCGUCAUUUUGUUAUUUUUUGUUGAAGUGUUUGGUCGCGUCGUGUCUCGUGUCGUUGUUUGUAUAAUGUUAGUUUAUUAAUUAUAAACAAUUUUAUUAAAUUAUAAACAAUAUGGAAAACAAAAAAGAUGAAGAAAAAUCUAGAAGGUGAAACAUGCGAUUGGGAAUCUAAAAAAACACCAACAACAGCAGCAGCAUCAAAUGAAAUAAAAUAAAAAAAAGUUAUUGUAUUUUAUAUUGCAUUUAUUGUGAAAAUUUCGUUUGCUAAAAUAAAAUAAAAAAUAAAACAGUUUCAGUGAAAAAAAAAAAUAAAUCUUGUUCUUUUUUUGGUCGCAAAUGCGAAAUGUCAUCCCUUUCUUAUUCCUCUUUCUGGUAGGUUUUCGCUGCUCCGGCUCAGGUCCGCCUUCGGCUCCGUGUUCUCGGAAUGGAGAUUUUCACCACACCAAUACAUAUGCAAUCGACUUCGCGGUGAUUAUAAUUUCCAUACUAAUUUGAGCCGCCUUCGGACCAGUUUCUGAUCCGAAGUCGGACUCAGCUCCGCCUCAGGCGGAGCGGAUUCGGACCGAGGUCGGACCUGUUUGCUUGAAGGGAAGUUGGUAUAUCUUCCGAUAUUUUUAUAUAAAAACACCUAAAUACAUUUAAAUUUUCAUAUUAAUAUUUAGAGAGUUUCAAUUCAUAGUUUCUCAUAAGUAAGAAUGUCAAUGUAUGGUAAAUUACGCCCUUUUGUUAUUAGAAAAUGAAUCGAUAUUGCGAUAUUUCUAUUCAACAAAAUAUCGAAACGAAAAAUAUCGAUAAUUUUUUUUUGAGAAGGCCAUCUCUAUAAUUAUCACAAAUGACAAAAAAAAACAA